Molecule: ribosomal RNA, 497 nt
Filed under: uncultured bacterium
Lineage: Bacteria
Description: partial 16S ribosomal RNA
Rfam family: Bacterial small subunit ribosomal RNA
Source: RNAcentral
GACGAACGCUGGCGGCGUGCCUAAUACAUGCAAGUAGAACGCUGAAGCGAGGAGCUUGCUCUUCUUGGAUGAGUUGCGAACGGGUGAGUAACGCGUAGGUAACCUGCCUUGUAGCGGGGGAUAACUAUUGGAAACGAUAGCUAAUACCGCAUAACAAUGGAUGACACAUGUCAUUUACUUGAAAGGGGCAAUUGCUCCACUACAAGAUGGACCUGCGUUGUAUUAGCUAGUAGGUGAGGUAAUGGCUCACCUAGGCGACGAUACAUAGCCGACCUGAGAGGGUGAUCGGCCACACUGGGACUGAGACACGGCCCAGACUCCUACGGGAGGCAGCAGUAGGGAAUCUUCGGCAAUGGGGGCAACGCUGACCGAGCAACGCCGCGUGAGUGAAGAAGGGUUUCGGAUCGUAAAGCUCUGUUGUAAGUCAAGAACGGGUGUGAGAGUGGAAAGUUCACACUGUGACGGUAGCUUACCAGAAAGGGACGGCUAACUACGUG